GCAUAUCAAUAAGCGGAGGAAARGAAACCAACAGGGAUUGCCCUAGUAACGGCGAGUGAAGCGGCAACAGCUCAAAUUUGAAAUCUGGCCCUCGGGUCCGAGUUGUAAUUUGUAGAGGAUGCUUUUGGUGAGNUACCUUCCGAGUUCCCUGGAACGGGACGCCAUAGAGGGUGAGAGCCCCGUCUGGUUGGAUACCAAACCUCUGUAAAGCUCCUUCGACGAGUCGAGUAGUUUGGGAAUGCUGCUCUAAAUGGGAGGUAUAUGUCUUCUAAAGCUAAAUACCGGCCAGAGACCGAUAGCGCACAAGUAGAGUGAUCGAAAGAUGAAAAGCACUUUGAAAAGAGAGUUAAAAAGUACGUGAAAUUGUUGAAAGGGAAGCGCUUAUGACCAGACUUGGACUUGGUUGAUCAUCCUGGGUUCUCCCUGGUGCACUCUUCCAGUUCAGGCCAGCAUCAGUUCGCUGCGGGGGAUAAAAGUUUUGGGAAUGUGGCUCCCUCGGGAGUGUUAUAGCCCAUUUCAUAAUACCCUGCUCCGGACUGAGGUUCGCGCAUCUGCAAGGAUGCUGGCGUAAUGGUCAUCAGCGACCCGUCUUGAAACACGGACCAAGGAGUCGUCUUCGUAUGCGAGUGUUCGGGUGUUAAACCCCUACGCGUAAUGAAAGUGAACGCAGGUGAGAGCUUCGGCGCAUCAUCGACCGAUCCUGAUGUUCUCGGAUGGAUUUGAGUAAGAGCAUACGGGGCCGGACCCGAAAGAAGGUGAACUAUGCCUGUAUAGGGUGAAGCCAGAGGAAACUCUGGUGGAGGCUCRCAGCGGUUCUGACGUGCAAAUCGAUCGUCAAAUAUGGGCAUGGGGGCGAAAGACUAAUCGAACCUUCUAGUAGCUGGUUUCCGCCGAAGUU
This 898-nucleotide ribosomal RNA is filed under the name Calonectria brasiliensis. RNAcentral's name for it is "LSU rRNA". It matches the Rfam family "Eukaryotic large subunit ribosomal RNA", at positions 38 to 968 of the family's 3401-position model. The record is from RNAcentral. Lineage: Eukaryota; Fungi; Ascomycota; Sordariomycetes; Hypocreales; Nectriaceae.